This 585-nucleotide ribosomal RNA is filed under the name uncultured bacterium. Its description in RNAcentral is "partial 16S ribosomal RNA". It matches the Rfam family "Bacterial small subunit ribosomal RNA", at positions 355 to 1375 of the family's 1533-position model. The record is from RNAcentral.
UGGGGAAUUUUGGACAAUGGGCGAAAGCCUGAUCCAGCAAUGCCGCGUGUGUGAAGAAGGCCUUCGGGUUGUAAAGCACUUUUGUCCGGAAAGAAAUCCUUGACUCUAAUACAGUCGGGGGAUGACGGUACCGGAAGAAUAAGCACCGGCUAACUACGUGCCAGCAGCCGCGGUAAUACGUAGGGUGCAAGCGUUAAUCGGAAUUACUGGGCGUAAAGCGUGCGCAGGCGGUUUGCUAAGACCGAUGUGAAAUCCCCGGGCUCAACCUGGGAACUGCAUUGGUGACUGGCAGGCUAGAGUAUGGCAGAGGGGGGUAGAAUUCCACGUGUAGCAGUGAAAUGCGUAGAGAUGUGGAGGAAUACCGAUGGCGAAGGCAGCCCCCUGGGCCAAUACUGACGCUCAUGCACGAAAGCGUGGGGAGCAAACAGGAUUAGAUACCCUGGUAGUCCACGCCCUAAACGAUGUCAACUAGUUGUUGGGGAUUCAUUUCCUUAGUAACGUAGCUAACGCGUGAAGUUGACCGCCUGGGGAGUACGGUCGCAAGAUUAAAACUCAAAUGAAUUGACGGGGUCAUAGCUGUUUCCU